UCCCUGAUACAUUAAUACACCAACGUUAAAACAAUAACUUCUGGAAAGUUUCUCUCAUUUAGCUUUUUCUACUGUUCUCAGCCAGAGUUCUUUCCAAAACAGACUCUUGGGCCUGCUCUUUGCUGAGGAUCCUAUUCCUUUCCAGCCACAGCAUUUGGGUUCAUGUUGGUUUCUCCAUUCUCUUAAGCACCUUCAGUGAUCGUUUCCUAGUUUUAAGCUUUAAGCCAGUGGUAUGCCAUCCCUACUUACUUUUUGGGUGUCUUCUUUCCUAAGCAAAAUAUCUUUAGAAGAAAUGGAUUUUCACACUCUUGUCUGUUCAUGAGUAUGAAGGAUUCUGUUUCCCCUGAGUCUGGCAAGAAGCUAAACAUUUUCAAGUGACGCCCAAGUUCUUAGCUGUGUUAGCAUUCACAGCCUUCUAAGAGAGAUGAGAAAGACAUUAGAAGCUGACAAUACUGGUGGUAGCCUAGCUAUAUUUGGUGUCUAUUCUGCAUGUCUAAGUUCAGGAUGAUUUAUGUCCAUUAAAGGCCAGCAGAACACUCAAGUCUGCCUUCGAUAGGGCAAAACAUAAAGAACGUACGUUAAGAGAUCAGAGAUCUUCAUAAAGGAAUACUGCCUUCCAUCUGAUAUUGCGGGUUUUGUGUAGUAUCUCAAGAUAGUAUUUCAAGAAUGGCAGAAAAGUCUGUAAACAUUUAACUGUUACAGUUGCUUCAUUGUUUGGAAUUGUUUACAUAUCAGUGUUAUUUAAAACUCUAGUAGUUGUCCCAGCGAUUGAGUUCACCUGUUAAAAUACUAGGGAUCCUUACCAACUAAUACAAAAAUGCAUUGCUUACUUUGUAAGCCUCUUCUGCCUAAUAAGCUUUAGGGUAGUUCUACUGCCGUAUUUUACCUUUUAGCCAUCAGCAAGCAUAGGAUCUCAUCUGGACAAGGUAGGGACCUAAAUGAAUUGAUCUAA
Molecule: long non-coding RNA, 952 nt
Filed under: Bos taurus (domestic cattle)
Lineage: Eukaryota; Metazoa; Chordata; Mammalia; Artiodactyla; Bovidae
Description: long non-coding RNA NONBTAT015798
Source: RNAcentral